Long non-coding RNA from Microplitis mediator, 309 nucleotides. RefSeq lists it as uncharacterized. Lineage: Eukaryota; Metazoa; Arthropoda; Insecta; Hymenoptera; Braconidae. The record is from RefSeq and is a predicted model, not a curated record. The transcript is spliced from 3 exons.
UGACAUUGUUUUCAAUAACUCGGAGUUGAAAAUAAUAAAUCAAUCGUAAGAAUUUUUCAACAAUAAAAUGACUCCAACAGAAUUACAAAUCAUUCAAAAAACUAUCAGUGAGAUGAAAGAGAUGUUAGGUGUUAAAGAUAAUGACAAUAGUCAUUGGAAAGUGGUUCAGAAAAUGAGACAAUUGGAAGAACAGGAGAAACAAUUAAAAGAAAAAUUAGAGUUCUUCAAGAAUUUUGUCAACAACUACAGGGAGAGCAUCAACAAAUCAAAAACUCAACGCAGAAAUUAUUCCGAUCGUAGAGGAAGACG